UACAGAGGGUGCGAGCGUUGUCCGGAAUCACUGGGCGUAAAGGGCUCGUAGGCGGCCAACUAAGUCAGACGUGAAAUCCCUCGGCUUAACCGGGGAACUGCGUCUGAUACUGGAUGGCUUGAGAUUGGGAGAGGGAUGCGGAAUUCCAGGUGUAGCGGUGAAAUGCGUAGAUAUCGGGAGGAACACCAAUUGCGAAGGCAGCUCGCUGGGACGUUACUGACGCUGAGACGCGAAAGCGUGGGGAGCAAGCAGG
Molecule: ribosomal RNA, 253 nt
Filed under: uncultured bacterium
Lineage: Bacteria
Description: partial 16S ribosomal RNA
Rfam family: Bacterial small subunit ribosomal RNA
Source: RNAcentral